CUUUGGUGGCGACCGGCGCACGGGUGCGUAACGCGUAUGCAACCUACCUUUAACAGGGGCAUAACACUGAGAAAUUGGUACUAAUUCCCCAUAACAUUCGAGAAGGCAUCUUCUUGGGUUAAAAACUCCAGUGGUUAAAGAUGGGCAUGCGUUGUAUUAGCUAGUUGGUGAGGUAACGGCUCACCAAGGCAACGAUACAUAGGGGGACUGAGAGGUUAACCCCCCAUAUUGGUACUGAGACACGGACCAA
Molecule: ribosomal RNA, 250 nt
Filed under: uncultured bacterium
Lineage: Bacteria
Description: partial 16S ribosomal RNA
Rfam family: Bacterial small subunit ribosomal RNA
Source: RNAcentral